RNAcentral lists this unclassified non-coding RNA (221 nucleotides) under fungal sp. Its description in RNAcentral is "partial internal transcribed spacer region". The stretch from base 1 to 46 matches the Rfam family "Eukaryotic small subunit ribosomal RNA", at positions 1786 to 1831 of the family's 1831-position model. Lineage: Eukaryota; Fungi. The record is from RNAcentral.
AAGUCGUAACAAGGUUUCCGUAGGUGAACCUGCGGAAGGAUCAUUAUUGUAGGGACUCCGGUCCCCUCAAGAUGCAACCCGUGCCUUUUUUGUAGCCCGUAACGUUUCCUCGGCAGCCCCGCUGCCAGCGAGGACCCCCCCAAACCAAACCUGCAAUCUCAGUAAUAAAUUCAGAAACCCCCCAAAAUUUAAAACUUUCAACAAUGGAUCUCUUGGCUCUG